RNAcentral lists this ribosomal RNA (503 nucleotides) under uncultured Anaplasma sp. RNAcentral's name for it is "bacterial SSU rRNA". It matches the Rfam family "Bacterial small subunit ribosomal RNA", at positions 88 to 626 of the family's 1533-position model. Lineage: Bacteria; Pseudomonadati; Pseudomonadota; Alphaproteobacteria; Rickettsiales; Anaplasmataceae. The record is from RNAcentral.
AAAAUUAGUGGCAGACGGGUGAGUAAUGCAUAGGAAUCUACCUAGUAGUAUGGGAUAGCCACUAGAAAUGGUGGGUAAUACUGUAUAAUCCCUGCGGGGGAAAGAUUUAUCGCUAUUAGAUGAGCCUAUGUUAGAUUAGCUAGUUGGUAGGGUAAAGGCCUACCAAGGCAGUGAUCUAUAGCUGGUCUGAGAGGAUGAUCAGCCACACUGGAACUGAGAUACGGUCCAGACUCCUACGGGAGGCAGCAGUGGGGAAUAUUGGACAAUGGGCGCAAGCCUGAUCCAGCUAUGCCGCGUGAGUGAGGAAGGCCUUAGGGUUGUAAAACUCUUUCAGUGGGGAAGAUAAUGACGGUACCCACAGAAGAAGUCCCGGCAAACUCCGUGCCAGCAGCCGCGGUAAUACGGAGGGGGCAAGCGUUGUUCGGAAUUAUUGGGCGUAAAGGGCAUGUAGGCGGUUCGGUAAGUUAAAGGUGAAAUGCCAGGGCUUAACCCUGGAGCUGCUU